GACGAACGCUAGCGGCAGGCAUAAUACAUGCAAGUUGAACGGGAUCUACCAGCAAUGGUGGUGAGAGUGGCGCACGGGUGCGUAACACGUAUGCAACCUGCCUCAAACCGGGGAAUAGCCCGUGGAAACAUGGAUUAAUACCCCAUAAGAUAGUGAAUAGGCAUCUAUUAGCUAUUAAAACUCCGGUGGUUUGAGAUGGGCAUGCGCGACAUUAGCUAGAUGGCGGGGUAACGGCCCACCAUGGCUACGAUGUCUAGGGGGUCUGAGAGGAUGUCCCCCCACACUGGUACUGAGACACGGACCAGACUCCUACGGGAGGCAGCAGUAGGGAAUAUUGGUCAAUGGGCGCAAGCCUGAACCAGCCAUGCCGCGUGCAGGAAGACGGCCCUAUGGGUUGUAAACUGCUUUUAUCAGGGAAGAAACCCCCGAACGUGUUCGGGGCUGACGGUACUUGAAGAAUAAGGAUCGGCUAACUCCGUGCCAGCAGCCGCGGUAAUACGGAGGAUCCAAGCGUUGUCCGGAUUUAUUGGGUUUAAAGGGUGCGUAGGCGGAAUAAUAAGUCAGAGGUGAAAGCCGGUAGCUCAGCUAUCGAAUUGCCUUUGAAACUGUUAAUCUUGAGUAUUGUUGAGGUAGGCGGAAUGUAUCAUGUAGCGGUGAAAUGCUUAGAUAUGAUACAGAACACCGAUUGCGAAGGCAGCUUACUAAACAAAAACUGACGCUGAGGCACGAAAGCGUGGGGAUCAAACAGG
This 749-nucleotide ribosomal RNA is filed under the name uncultured Sphingobacteriales bacterium. Its description in RNAcentral is "bacterial SSU rRNA". It matches the Rfam family "Bacterial small subunit ribosomal RNA", at positions 28 to 776 of the family's 1533-position model. The record is from RNAcentral. Lineage: Bacteria; Pseudomonadati; Bacteroidota; Sphingobacteriia; Sphingobacteriales.